Molecule: small RNA, 75 nt
Filed under: Polaribacter sp. SA4-12
Lineage: Bacteria; Pseudomonadati; Bacteroidota; Flavobacteriia; Flavobacteriales; Flavobacteriaceae
Description: Flavo-1 RNA
Rfam family: Flavo-1 RNA
Source: Rfam by way of RNAcentral
AAGUAGCGUUAGCGAUUGAAACGGCAUCCUUUUUGCCUUUUCAGCAAAAAGAUAUAGUGAAAAGCGCGACCCUUU